UUUUUGGAGACUUUACUAAACAACUUAAAAGAACGAGUAAGUGGGUAGGACGUGACGUCAUUUCCUAACGGUUCUGGCUCAGAGAGCCGACACCAGGGAUGUGGCAUGGCGGGCUCAGCUACUCCACGGUCUUACUGGACUCCACCGACAAUACCUCAAAUGGAAAACAGCAGAAAAAGAAAAUAUGAGAGAAACUGGAGCGACAGGAAGGCGUGUGUGAGAAAGAGGGGAGGACACCAGCGAAGGACAGCAGGCCAUAUUUGAACUUAGGUCACAGCG
Long non-coding RNA from Perca fluviatilis (European perch), 279 nucleotides. RefSeq lists it as uncharacterized. Lineage: Eukaryota; Metazoa; Chordata; Actinopteri; Perciformes; Percidae. The record is from RefSeq and is a predicted model, not a curated record. The transcript has 3 exons.